This 494-nucleotide ribosomal RNA is filed under the name uncultured bacterium. RNAcentral describes it as "partial 16S ribosomal RNA". It matches the Rfam family "Bacterial small subunit ribosomal RNA", at positions 28 to 507 of the family's 1533-position model. The record is from RNAcentral.
GACGAACGCUGGCGGCGUGCUUAACACAUGCAAGUCGAACGGAAAGGCCUGCUUUCCCUUGUGGAUUGCGGGUACUCGAGUGGCGAACGGGUGAGUAACACGUGAGUGAUCUGCCCCCAACUUGGGUAUAAGCCUGGGAAACUGGGUCUAAUUCCCGAUAGGACUGCAGGGUGGUGCCUGUGGUGGAAAACGAUUUUCUAGUGGUUGGGGAUGAGCUCGCGGCCUAUCAGCUUGUUGGUGGGGUAAUGGCCUACCAAGGCGGCGACGGGUAGCCGGCCUGGGAGGGUGGACGGGCACAUUGGGACUGAGAUACGGCCCAGACUCCUACGGGAGGCAGCAGUGGGGAAUAUUGCACAGUGGGCGGAAGCCUGAUGCAGCGACGCCGCGUGGGGGAUGACGGGCUUCGGGUUGUAAACUCCUUUCGACCGAGAGGAAGCCACCUGGUUGGAAGGGUGGUGACGGUAGUGGUAGAAGAAGCACCGGCUAACUACGUG